GGAAGUGUGGCCGAGCGGUUGAAGGCACCGGUCUUGAAAACCGGCGAGGGGAAACCCUCCCAGAGUUCGAAUCUCUGCGCUUCCGCCA
This 88-nucleotide transfer RNA is filed under the name Salmonella enterica. RNAcentral's name for it is "tRNA-Ser". It matches the Rfam family "tRNA". From Rfam's summary of the family: Transfer RNA (tRNA) molecules are approximately 80 nucleotides in length. Their secondary structure includes four short double-helical elements and three loops (D, anti-codon, and T loops). The record is from RNAcentral. Lineage: Bacteria; Pseudomonadati; Pseudomonadota; Gammaproteobacteria; Enterobacterales; Enterobacteriaceae. RNAcentral also lists the same sequence under 21 other names.